GAUGAACGCUGGCGGCGUGCCUAAUACAUGCAAGUCGAGCGAACGGACGAGAAGCUUGCUCCUCUGAUGUUAGCGGCGGACGGGUGAGUAACACGUGGAUAACCUACCUAUAAGACUGGGAUAAUUUCGGGAAACCGGAGCUAAUACCGGAUAAUAUUUUGAACUGCAUGGUUCAAACGUGAAAGACGGUCUUGCUGUCACUUAUAGAUGGAUCCGCGCUGCAUUAGUUAGUUGGUAAGGUAACGGCUUACCAAGGCAACGAGGCAUAGCCGACCUGAGCGGGUGAGCGGCCACACUGGAUCUGAGACACGGUCCAGACUCCGACGGGGGGCAGCAGUAGAGAAUCUUCCGCAAUGGGCGAGAGCCUGACGUAGCAACACCGCGGGAGUGAUGAAGGUCUUCUGAUCGUAGAGCGCUGUUAUUAGGGAAGAACAUAUGUGUAAGUAACUGUGCACAUCAUGACGGUACCUAAUCAGAAAGCCACGGCUAACUACGUG
Molecule: ribosomal RNA, 497 nt
Filed under: uncultured bacterium
Lineage: Bacteria
Description: partial 16S ribosomal RNA
Rfam family: Bacterial small subunit ribosomal RNA
Source: RNAcentral